GGACAACCUACCCUUAGGACCGGGAUAACCCUGGGAAACUGGGGAUAAUACUGGAUAGGCAAUUUUUCCUGUAAUGGUUUUUUGUUUAAAUGUUUUUUCGCCUAAGGAUGGGUCUGCGGCCGAUUAGGUAGUUGGUUAGGUAAUGGCUUACCAAGCCGUUGAUCGGUACGGGUUGUGAGAGCAAGAGCCCGGAGAUGGAACCUGAGACAAGGUUCCAGGCCCUACGGGGUGCAGCAGGCGCGAAACCUCCGCAAUGUGAGAAAUCGCGACGGGGGGAUCCCAAGUGCUAUUCUUAACGGGAUGGCUUUUCAUUAGUGUAAAGAGCUUUUGGAAUAAGGGCUGGGCAAGACCGGUGCCAGCCGCCGCGGUAACACCGGCAGCUCUAGUGGUAGCAGUUUUUAUUGGGCCUAAAGCGUCCGUAGCCGGUUUAAUAAGUCUCUGGUGAAAUCCUGUAGCUUAACUGUGGGAAUUGCUGGAGAUACUAUUAGGCUUGAGACCGGGAGAGGUUAGAGGUACUCCCAGGGUAGAGGUGAAAUUCUGUAAUCCUGGGAGGACCGCCUGUUGCGAAGGCGUCUAACUGGAACGGUUCUGACGGUGAGGGACGAAAGUUAGGGGCGCGAACCGGAUUAGAUACCCGGGUAGUCCUAACUGUAAACGAUGCGGACUUGGUGUUGGGGUGGCUUUGAGCUGCUCCAGUGCCGAAGGGAAGCUGUUAAGUCCGCCGCCUGGGAAGUACGGUCGCAAGACUGAAACUUAA
RNAcentral lists this ribosomal RNA (757 nucleotides) under uncultured archaeon. Its description in RNAcentral is "bacterial SSU rRNA". It matches the Rfam family "Archaeal small subunit ribosomal RNA", at positions 102 to 859 of the family's 1478-position model. The record is from RNAcentral.